AAGUCGUGUUGAGGGAAAUGUCGUAGCAAUCUCUUAUAAUGCUUCCAAGCUUCGUAUAACGACUCUCCCUAUAAUUGUUGAAAAUUUUGGAUAUUUCUUUUAAGCUU
Molecule: small nucleolar RNA, 107 nt
Organism: Lactuca sativa (garden lettuce)
Lineage: Eukaryota; Viridiplantae; Streptophyta; Magnoliopsida; Asterales; Asteraceae
Source: RefSeq, a predicted model, not a curated record